Molecule: long non-coding RNA, 894 nt
Organism: Dicentrarchus labrax (European seabass)
Lineage: Eukaryota; Metazoa; Chordata; Actinopteri; Moronidae
Exons: 2
Source: RefSeq, a predicted model, not a curated record
GAGUCUGUUCCUCACAUGCAGGGGUGACGAGAGCCUCUGCGAGACCGAGUAGGAUAUACUGAGGAGCCAGCUGGAAACACGGCAUGGCCGACACUUGCAGGACUUUUCCAGACAGAGUCUGCUCCACCAGAGGGUGCCAGAGGAGUUUUUUCCAUGGAGAGGUAGCAAGUCGUCACACACUCGAUCAGUGGGGCUAAGAGCAGCAGAGGUAGGAUGCUGAUCACAUUCAUGGCACCGAUGGGCAACAGGAGGUCGUUCAGAUGCAGGUUUGAGUUCAUCGUCUGUAUGUAGUAACCUGAGGGAAUCUGUAGGAAACAUGUUCUCCAUGGAAAUCAUCCUUUUUCAUGCUUUAUAAUGAAGACCCAUUAUAUCCCCAGUGACUUACCUGUGUGACGCAGGCUCUGUACAGCAGCUGAAGCCCGUAAAGAGGGAAGAGCUUGGCCAGGACUUUGACAUUCUCUACAUGCGUUUCGCUGUAACGGCCACCAUUGUUCUCCUUGGCCCGGUCCAGCCAAGAUGUUACAUCUCCACUCAGGUGGCGAUAGUGGAGGCAGCACAUCUUGAGAGAGUUCAGGAAAACUCCCAGUGUGGUCAGCAACGAUCCACCUAUGACAAACACAAAAUGGUUCAUGUAUAUUUAAGUAUUUCAAGUAAGUAUUGUCUGAAUACCAGUUUUUAUGUAUUGUAUACCUUUCUUGGGUUUGUAGGUGAGUUUGUUCCGCAUCAUGUGUAUGGCGAUUAGAGCAAGCAGCACAGAGGUGAAGGGGAUGAGGAAGGCGAGAUUUUUGGCCACAGACUGCUGGAUGUAAGCAAUGCCCAGAAACACCACGGUGGAAUUCAAGUUGACCAACCAGUAGAACCUAAACAUAAAUAAAACAAAUAUCACACACACAA